CCCAAGGCCUUUGCUGUUUUUAAACAAAUCCACCCUUAGCCAACUCUCCCCACCAGGCUUUUCCACAUGAUUUGAUGGGAUGGGGCCUGCCGCCUCCUCCCUCUGCCUGGGGAAGGGUUCCUAGAUGCGUGGGGGAGGACGUGCGGCUCCUUCCUUUUCCUGGUGGCGCCGUGAAGAUCUGUGUGUGUACUUCUUGGAAAGAUUCCAGAGACGUGAUUAUGCUUUCCCAGAAAAGCUGAAGCUUAGCGUGUAUCAUUGCAUGCAGAUCCAGCUAACCCCACUUCAAAGUUUAUGUGAGGAAUACAUAAUCCAGUUGUUUGAACUCCAGUUGUAACAAGGUCCCCUCAUCUGCUCAUCUGCCUCGAUGUGACUUUUCCACCUUUGAGCUUGACUGCUAGUCAUCUCCACCUUGUAUCUCCAAACCCAUCAGCAAUUUUUCAAGGAUGGGCCAAAGCUUUCUGUAGGCACUUUGGAAGGACCUGUGGCACGAGAGACAGGAAUGUAUUAACAAGUGCAGAGCUGGGAGCCCCUCAGAGGUCAUCUGGCCCAAUUAUCUGGUUUUAAGGAGGAAGAAAAGGGGGCCUAAAGGAGUCAACUGCAAGCUCUGUGGACUGCUGGAGCUCUCUUCCUUAAAGCAUUUGGCCUUCUGGCAAUAAAGGGACAGCAGAGACCUGCUCUCACUUGAGCCUCACUGGGUCCUUGUGGCAAGAGCUGCCAUGUGUUUACCUCCUUGAAUCUUGACCACUGCCCCUCAGGAAGUCAUGGCUUAGGGCCGUUGAGCUCACCUGUCACACAGCAACACACAAAGGAGCCAGAUCCAGGCCCUCAGGGAGUAGCUCAUGGCUCCAGCCCAGGCUGAGAGCCUCUCUCCUGCAUGCUGGGGACUCUGGGCGAUGGACUCAGACUGUGCGCUUUGCAGAGGCUGCUAAAAAUGAGGCCACCGAGGCUGGGCGUGGUGGCUCACGCCUGUAAUCCCAGCACUUUGGGAGGCCAAGGCAGGUAGAUCACCUAAGGUCAGGAGUUUGAGACCAGCUUGGCUAACAUGGUGAAACCCCAUCUCCACUAAAAAUACAAAAAUUAGCCAGGUGUGGUGGUGGGUAAUCCCAGCUACUCUGGAGGCUGAGGCAGGAGAAUUGCUUGAACCUGGGAGGUGGAGGUUGCGGUGAGCUGAGAUCACGCCAUCGCACUGCAGCCUGGGCUACAAGAGCAAAACUCUGUCUCAAAAACAAACAGAAAGACAACAACAAAAAACCGAUACCACUGUCGAGAGAGACAGGCAAUUGUGCGUGAAAUCGGUCUUUCUUUUGAAGUCGGAGACUAUAACAACUGUGGCCUCAGAUCACCGAUGAGAGCCACCCAUGGCAGGCAGCCUCCAGGCCUGAGGGAGAACCAGUGGAUCCUCACCAUCUUUAGUUAGUAAGCAAAAGAAAACCGGUGAGUCAGGCUGCAGUCACGACCUCACCCAGCUUGCGGAAGGAGGGAGACAUUCCUCAGGGCUCCCCUUUCUGAUGUUGCCUUGCUUUGUACCUACUGUUCCUUUUCCUGUUCAGCAGAUGACAGAUGUUUGACAUUAAGCAAUUUAGAGUUUUGUUUUUUAAAAAACAGAAUCAUAGAUUAUCAGAAGUGGAAGUCCCUUUGGAAUCAUUUCCCCUGGGUUACACAGAUGGCUAUGGCAGGGUAAAGGGAGCCGAAGGUCAGCGGGGACUGAGCCUGGGCCCCCUCCAGGCUUUGCAGCAAUGACCAGGCAGCAAGUCGGCCUCCAGGGCUUGUGGGCUGCCCUUUCUCUGGGGUCAGCCUGAGGCUGGAAGAGGCCCGUGGUCCACCGGUCAUCAGGCCAACCUGAUGGAGCUGGAGCUUCCCUGGAGCUCACGACGUAAGGGCCCUGCCAGGCCUUGGGCCUCUGACCCUCAGUCCUGAAGCCUCCCUCUAGCAGCGCCCACCCUGCUCCCUUUCCUGCUGAAUUUUACUCAAGUCCGUACUGGACAUGGCCGGCCCUAGGUUAACCCGGCAGAGUUAUUAACCAGGAGUGGAUCUUUCCAACCCCCUUCCCGCCGGCCCUUCCUGCUGUCCACACCCGGCCAACUCCGCGGUCCUGGCAAGGGAGGCCUUCCUGGAGGCGGCGGCGGGCGGCGCGUCCGGCCUUUGUGCCCCCACGCUCUCCAGGGGUGGGUCCGGGGACUGCCAGAUCAGGGGACCCUUUGCGCCCUGGAGCCUUGGGGGCUGGAUGACGUCGCCGGGCACCUGAGGACCCCGCCCGUUCCUCCCUCGGUUCCCCAGGGAGCGGGCUGCCGGGGGCGGGGCGGGCCGAAGGAAGGGGCGCGUGCUACGACGCCGCGCACGCGCCAGA
This 2347-nucleotide long non-coding RNA is filed under the name Macaca fascicularis (crab-eating macaque). RNAcentral describes it as "lncRNA (ENSMFAG00000050376.1)". Lineage: Eukaryota; Metazoa; Chordata; Mammalia; Primates; Cercopithecidae. The record is from RNAcentral.